RNAcentral lists this transfer RNA (77 nucleotides) under Chloroflexota bacterium. RNAcentral describes it as "Chloroflexi bacterium tRNA-Val". It matches the Rfam family "tRNA". Rfam says of the family: Transfer RNA (tRNA) molecules are approximately 80 nucleotides in length. Their secondary structure includes four short double-helical elements and three loops (D, anti-codon, and T loops). Lineage: Bacteria; Bacillati; Chloroflexota. The record is from RNAcentral.
GGGCGGUUAGCUCAGCUGGUUAGAGCGCCUGCCUCACACGCAGGAGGUCACAGGUUCGAGUCCUGUACCGCCCACCA